CUCUCUCUCUCUCUCUCUCUCUCUCAAUAAUAAACCUUAAAAAUUAAAAAAGAAAGAAAGAAAAACCUGGAUAUACUCACAAUAUAAUGGUUAGUAGUAAUGGAGAGGGAAUGGGAGUAUGUACAAGUAAAUGGGAGGGAAACUCCAGCAUGUGAAAUUCUUCCCAUGGUUUGAAAAAUUAAAAAUACUACAUAUUUCAUCUUCGUAGGGGAAAGACCAGAAAGAACACACCCAAACAGCCACAGUGGUGGCUUCUCGAUGCUGGGAUUACAAGUGCUUUUUAUCCUCUUGACUCUUUUUUAUAUUUCCAAAGUUUGAAUCAUAAACUACUAAAAACCCAGAAAGCCAAACACUAUGGUAAAUUAAGGGAAAUGUGAUCUUUAAAUCCGAUAUCAGUAUUGAAUAAUAAAAGGCACAGUACUGAACCACACCUGUAGUGUGCUACUGUUUGUGUCAUAAAGGGAGCAAACAGUAUAUAUUAUUUCUGGUAAAAUAUCUCUGGAAAAAUAAACCAGAAACCAAUCACAGGGGGCUGACCAUGGGAAAAGGAACUAGCCUGUGGGGGACAGGGGUGGGACGGAGACUUUUCCUAUAAACCUUUUUAUACUUUAGUACCUAUAUAAAAAGCUUGCAAAAUACAGUGUACAUUUUUUCCAGUCUUUGAGAUGCCAAGAGUUUCUGAAAAUGGUCAGAAAGCGUCUCAAUGUAAGCGAACUGUGUGUUCCCCUUUUGAAACCUGCUCAGUAUGAUCUACAGUAAGUAGAGCAUCUGUAAGAUACCAAGUAUCACCAUCCAUCAUACUGUGGUGCUAUUUAGCUAAAGGCCCACAUGUCAAAUGCAUAUCCUUAUUCUGAGCCAAAAGAAAAGAAAAACCAGUUUUAAUAGCCCAUUGGGUUUCCCUUUUCACCUUGGCUUGUAAGAAGACUUAACGCUUUAUUUUGUCUUUAACCAGAUUUUCUAAGUGAAGGAAAUAGACUCUUCCCUAUACCCACCCCAUUUAUUCACUCCCAUCUUUCAAAUCUUGUUCUGAUCGUUUUCCACGUACUUAGAGUUGGCCUCUACCUCUCUGCAGUUUCAGAACCUCUUUGGAAGUGAAUGGAUAUGUAUUAAUCCGUUGCUGUGUAACAAGUCCUUCCAAAAUGCAGAGGCUUGAAACAGCAGUUUGCCUUUAUUGUAUCUCUUGGUUCCUUUGGGUCAGAAAUGCAGGAGCAUCCUGGCUUGGGGACCUUUCCAGAGGUUGCAGUUAAGAUGCCAGCCAGAGCUGCGGUCAUCUGAGGGCUUGACUGGGGCUGGAGGGUCUACUGCCAGGAUAUUGGCAAGCUGGCGUUUGCUGUUGGCGGGACACCUUCCGUCCUCCCUCCGUGCGCUGCUUGCUUGUCCUCGUGACAGGGUGGCCCAAAGAGAGACAACCCAAAAGAGGACAAGGCGGAAACUGCAAUGCCUUUUAUGACCUGGCCUCGGAAGUCACACACCUUCACUUCGGCUUUGCCCUCUUCGUCAAAAGCAAGUCACUGGGUCCAGCCAGUCUUUGAGGGGAGGGAUGUUAGUUGCCACCUUCUGAAGGAGGGAGCGUCAAAGAAUUUGCAGUCAUAUUUAAAAACAAACACAGGGUGCGGCGCCUGGGUGGCUCAGUCGUUGAGCACGUGACUCUUGAUUUCGGCUCAGGCGGUGGGAUCCAGCCCCACAGCGGGUUCUGCGCUGACAGUGCGGAGCCUGCUUGGGAUUCUCUCUCUCCCUCUCUCUCUCUCUCUCUGCCCCUCCCCUGCUUGCACUCCCUCUCUUGAAAUAAAUGCACAGAUUUGAAAAACAAACACAUGGAAUAAUAAUCAGAAUUAGGGCACCUGGGUGGCUCAGCCAGUUGAGCGUGUGACUCUUGAUUUUGGCUCAGGGCUUGAACUCACCAUGAACUCAUGGUCAUGAUCUCACGGUUGGUGAGUUCAAGCCCCAUGUCGGGGGAAUCCCGCUUGAGAUUCUCUGUCUCCCUGUCUCUGUCUCUGUCAAAAAAUAAACAUUAAAAAAAGAAUCAACUAAUAUCAAAUUAGUCAAAUGAGAAGGUAAAGACCAUGAGAAAUAAAAGAAAGGAGGUUUUUGGACAGAGGAAACACCCACGGAGCACACCUACUGUCCUACGCUCUGUACUCCGGACUUAGCAUACAUUAUUGUGUUUAAUUUCAACACUUUUGUUAAUUUUUGAGAGAGAGUGCACAAGCAGGGGAGAGGCGGGGAGAGGCAGAGAGAGGGAGAGGGACAGAGGAUCUGAAGCGGGCUCCGUGCAGACAGCAGAGAACCCGCUGUGGGGCCCAAACUCACGAACCAUGAGAUCAUGACCUGAGCCGAAGCCGGACGCUCACCCAACUGAGCCACCCAGGCACCCUUUGUGUUUCAUUUCGUAAAAACAUAUUCUCAGUUUUACAGGUGAGGAAAGUGAGAACUCUAAGGCCUCUAACUUGUCCAAGGUCACAUAGUGUCAGAGGAGCACGUGAAGCACCUGUCAGCCUGAGAUCACACCUGUGCCAUCACUCUACCUCAGUGGGAAAAGGAACACUUUCUUGAUUAUUUGCCACCUCGACUUACCUAAACCGUGACCAUUUUGCCACCGGGGAGAAAUAUGAUCAAUACUCCCGGUUGAAUGAAUUCUGACAGAGAUGUUUAACUCAUUUCUAAAGCCUCUGGAAUCAAACAGGUGUCAACUCUCCUUCGGAAGCCCCUCCCCUGCCUUUUGCCAUUGCCAGUGUUUGCCCAGUGCAGGUAGCGCCAUGCCUCUGCUCACCCCUGACUUUGAAAGCCAUCCAACUUCUCUUCCCACUAUAGCUGGCUGUGACACGGAGGCCAGUGAGGUCAAUGGAGUAGGGUGACACCGAGCACAGGGUGUGUGAGGACGAGGCCCGCCCUCUCAUGGGACUGAGCCAAGUCCAAUAGGGUGGAGAUUGGACAGCCCAUCUGCCCUGGUGCCAUGCUGGACUGCAAGGGCUUGAUAAGGCCAGGGAACCAUCCGCCCAACUUAGCGCCCUCUUCCAAAUAUAGAUUUCUCCCAGCAAUGCCCUCCUAGCCGUUGACCGUCACAUGGGUACCUUCCUCCAAAGGUAGCUGCUGGUCUCUGCCACUGUGAGAUGGGACCCGAUCCAGGGCAGGACCAGCUCUUUGGGGUGCCAGGUUUUCAGGCCAUGGCUGUGGAGAAAGCACGGUGACUUCUUACCUCCCCUGCCCACACUUCCCUUCUCAGCAAUGGCCUCUCCAUUCCUCUUAGGAAACAAACUUCUCUGAUGGAUUCUCUGGUCAACACUGUCCUCUCUUCUGAGAACUUAUGCCUGGAGAAUCACUGGAGCUCUGUGCCAUUGGUACUCUCAGCUCCCAAGGCACAUUGCCCUGUGCAGAGAAUUUUCCUUGAGUUGGAAGUUUCAGGAACCAGCACUGUUUGUCACAAACAGAGCAUUAUUGUCUUACUCCAGAGCUGGAGUAAGAAGUAGGCCAACUGGGCAUUAACCAGGACUCUGGUCUAUAGAGGCACUAAAAACCAUCCUGAUAAGAUAAAACAUCGACUCCCUGGAAUUUCUCUUAACAGCUGGAGCUGAUCCCUCACUCGAAAGCCCCUGACAACCGACAUUGAACAAAGCAGGGGGAGCUCACAGUCCUGCCAGAUAGGCAGCCGUGAGCCAGGACCAGUCGUGUUAUGUGCAGGAGCGAGGAACCUCAGUCCCGUAGAGACGAAACAACUUGCCCAAGAUGAUCAGUGACUGAGGAUCAGGAAUCAAAGGCUGGUGUCUCUGAGCCACUGUGUCUCUCCCGAGAGACAAGUAGCUUCUUUCAUGCUUGGGACCCCCAAUUCUUGCCUCUCCUGUGCCUCUGCCUGUUCUCCCCUCCUCCAAGGAUGGAGGCUUCAUCCUGGGAAGCUGGUGGGCAGCUCGAGUGAUCCUUGCUUUGAGACAGGCUUUUCCAGAACAGAUCUCAGACCUGAGACGUAGGGGCAUGUGUCCCUCCAGAAGGCAGAGCCCCGUUUGGUGAGAGGACACAGAGCUGUGCUUGGGGCCCACGGACUCUACUCCAGGACGAGAGAAUGAGGUGAGGCAGACGCUGAGCGGCCAAGGAGAAGAAAGCAAACAUGUGAACUUUGGAGCCAGAAGCUCUGUCACAGAGCAGCUGAGAGACCUUGGGCACAUUUCUCCUCUGAGCUCAGUUUUCUCAGCUGCUAAGUGGAGGUCAGCCUACUUGCCUCGUAGAGGUGAUGUUGGGGAUGGAACAAGUGUGAGUCGGGUGCCUGGCACCGGAGCUGGUCCACCCCAGGCGUCCAGACGCUGUCACUGAAGGCACGUGAGGCCCCUCCUGGGACUUCCCCCAGCCCUACCCCUGCUGCCCCUCACUGUUCCUGUCUCUUUCUGCUUCUCCCACCUUCUUUCUCUCCCAUUUCCUCCUCAGUGGCUGGAGGCCUCCCGGAGGGGUCACUGGACAUACCCUUUGGUGGCCUAGGACGCUUCCGAUGGGAAAGGUGGAUAGCCAGGCCCGAAUCGGUCCUGUGACAACCACACCCCAUGCCCCUGACCUACCCGCCCACCUCACUCACAGCCACCUUCCCUCCUCACCCCUGCCUCCCACCCCAGGAGCUCUGACUCCGCUCUGGGAGAGACAACUGACUGCAAAGAGACCGUGGCCACAGUCACUCUUAAUUGGAGGGGAGACUGCAGACUGCCUUUCUUCCUCCCCGCCCCCGAUUCCUCCAAGCCAGAGGAAAGGAGAAGCACGGGGAGGGAGCCCAGGGAUCGCCACGCUUGGCUGCCUGGCUUUCUGCACGCAGGGGAUUGAGGCCGCCUAACUGACAGAUAGUAAACACGGGUAAAGACUCCAGGGCAGAGAAGAAGGGGUAGUUGGGCUGAGGCGGCCACGGCACUGGGGACGGGGAGGUUCGAGGGUCUUGGGAGAAGGCCAGAUGGCUCCCUGCCACGUCCCCAUCUGGGCCUCUGCCAACUUGAAGCCCAGUGAGCAGGGCCUUUUGCACAAAGGCCGAUGUGCACAGGAAGGGGGCCGUGGGAGUAUGGCAUGGGGGGACGUGGAAACGAGGGGUUCCCCUUCCGUGUGAGGCCUGGCAGCUUAGGACUCCCCUCUUGGCGCCCCCUUCCCCACGCUCCUACUCAGGGGAUCUCGCGCCAUCUCCACACUGCCCCCUCGGCUCACCUGCUCCUGGGAGGCAGGCCUGGGACAGGCCCCCACGCUGUGAGUGUGGAUUUUUCCAACAAGGGGUUGGCGUCUCUCGGCACUGCUGAAGGGAGUGCUCAGGGAAAGGCCCGAGGCUGCUCGGGAGAUCCAGUCUCAGCCACCAGCCCCUGACACCCCCCUUCCCCAGGUUGGCCCCAAAUCCGGAGGAUCUAGGCUUCUGGCCAAGGAUGGGGUUCUGAAUGUGGCAAGAGCUGCCUGCUCUCCGCCCCGGGCCCGUGUGCCACCCUCACUCGAAACAGGGCCGGCUGGCUGGGUUAUGGUCUCCAUUCAACACACUUCUGUUUCCAAGGCUUCACGUUGUGCCCAACCCCCUGAGGAAGAGAGGGGAUCAGAGACACCCCAGCUCCUGUGGGGCGAAUUCUCCUGUUUCACCGUCUGCCUUGCUCCUCAGAGAGGCCUUGCAGCCCUCGGCCUGACCCACCUGAGCUCUGGGCUGCCCGCCAAGCCCAGUGAGCUCCUCCCUGAGGACUCGCGCCCCCCUACUCGCCCUCCCUCCUCCUCCUUCCCGGGCUUGACAACGCAGCCAUGUCCUUCCCAGAGUGGCCAAAACAAAGAGAGCAGGCAGAGCUGGGUUCAAAUUGUAUCCCUCUGUUACGACUUUGGGCAAAUCUCUUAACUCUCUUUGAGCCUAGGUGCCAAGUCCAGACCUGGAAAGCAGGUCUGUCCUGCAGAGUUGUGAGAAUUUACAAAGGUGAGAUCUCUAGGGCAGCCUGCCGGCAGAGGGACCACGGGGCUGUCACAUCCCAUUGACGCCCCCUCCUAAAUCUCUCUCCCUUUGGGUCCCUCUUGCUGUUCCCAGUGUCCAGGUGCUAGUCUAGACUCCUCAUUUUUCGCCUGGGUUCAUUUCAACAGCCCCCUUGCUCAGCCCUCCUGUCGGAGCCCCUCAGUGCAGCUCACCUGCUGAAAAGGGAGA
This is a long non-coding RNA of Acinonyx jubatus (cheetah), 6121 nucleotides long. RefSeq lists it as uncharacterized. The record is from RefSeq and is a predicted model, not a curated record. The transcript has 3 exons. NCBI's taxonomy places the organism in Eukaryota, Metazoa, Chordata, Mammalia, Carnivora, Felidae.